RNAcentral lists this ribosomal RNA (1106 nucleotides) under Pochonia chlamydosporia var. catenulata. RNAcentral's name for it is "SSU rRNA". It matches the Rfam family "Eukaryotic small subunit ribosomal RNA", at positions 32 to 1150 of the family's 1831-position model. The record is from RNAcentral. Lineage: Eukaryota; Fungi; Ascomycota; Sordariomycetes; Hypocreales; Clavicipitaceae. RNAcentral also lists the same sequence under 3 other names.
UUGUCUCAAAGAUUAAGCCAUGCAUGUCUAAGUAUAAGCAAUUAUACAGCGAAACUGCGAAUGGCUCAUUAUAUAAGUUAUCGUUUAUUUGAUAGUACCUUACUACUUGGAUAACCGUGGUAAUUCUAGAGCUAAUACAUGCUAAAAAUCCCGACUUCGGAAGGGAUGUAUUUAUUAGAUUAAAAACCAAUGCCCUCUGGGCUCCUUGGUGAUUCAUGAUAACUUCUCGAAUCGCAUGGCCUUGCGCCGGCGAUGGUUCAUUCAAAUUUCUUCCCUAUCAACUUUCGAUGUUUGGGUAGUGGCCAAACAUGGUUGCAACGGGUAACGGAGGGUUAGGGCUCGACCCCGGAGAAGGAGCCUGAGAAACGGCUACUACAUCCAAGGAAGGCAGCAGGCGCGCAAAUUACCCAAUCCCGAUUCGGGGAGGUAGUGACAAUAAAUACUGAUACAGGGCUCUUUUGGGUCUUGUAAUUGGAAUGAGUACAAUUUAAAUCCCUUAACGAGGAACAAUUGGAGGGCAAGUCUGGUGCCAGCAGCCGCGGUAAUUCCAGCUCCAAUAGCGUAUAUUAAAGUUGUUGUGGUUAAAAAGCUCGUAGUUGAACCUUGGGCCUGGCUGGCCGGUCCGCCUCACCGCGUGUACUGGUCCGGCCGGGUCUUUCCCUCUGUGGAACCCCAUGCCCUUCACUGGGUGUGGCGGGGAAACAGGACUUUUACUUUGAAAAAAUUAGAGUGCUCCAGGCAGGCCUAUGCUCGAAUACAUUAGCAUGGAAUAAUGAAAUAGGACGUGCGGUUCUAUUUUGUUGGUUUCUAGGACCGCCGUAAUGAUUAAUAGGGACAGUCGGGGGCAUCAGUAUUCAAUUGUCAGAGGUGAAAUUCUUGGAUUUAUUGAAGACUAACUACUGCGAAAGCAUUUGCCAAGGAUGUUUUCAUUAAUCAGGAACGAAAGUUAGGGGAUCGAAGACGAUCAGAUACCGUCGUAGUCUUAACCAUAAACUAUGCCGACUAGGGAUCGGACGAUGUUAUUUAUUGACUCGUUCGGCACCUUACGAGAAAUCAAAGUGCUUGGGCUCCAGGGGGAGUAUGGUCGCAAGGCUGAAACUUAAAGG